CCCUUAGAUGUUCUGGGCCGCACGCGCGCUACACUGAUGCAUUCAACGAGUCUAAAACCUGCUCUGAUAGGGGUGGGUAAUCUUUUGAAUGUGCAUCGUGAUUGGGAUAGAUGAUUGCAAUUUUUCAUCUUCAACGAGGAAUGCCUAGUAAACGCAAGUCAUCAGCUUGCAUUGAUUACGUCCCUGCCCUUUGUACACACCGCCCGUCGCUCCUACCGAUUGAAUGAUCCGAUGAAUAUCAUGGAUUGAGGAUGCAAGCAGGUUCGCCUGUCUUCAUCUUCGAGAAGUGAAGUAAAUCUUAUCAUUUAGAGGAAGGGGAAGUCGUAACA
This 329-nucleotide ribosomal RNA is filed under the name uncultured eukaryote. RNAcentral describes it as "partial 18S ribosomal RNA". It matches the Rfam family "Eukaryotic small subunit ribosomal RNA", at positions 1470 to 1796 of the family's 1831-position model. The record is from RNAcentral.